Molecule: ribosomal RNA, 395 nt
Filed under: uncultured bacterium
Lineage: Bacteria
Description: bacterial SSU rRNA
Rfam family: Bacterial small subunit ribosomal RNA
Source: RNAcentral
GACGAACGCUGGCGGCGUGCUUAACACAUGCAAGUCGAGCGGUAAGGCCCUUUCGGGGUACGACGAGCGGCGAACGGGUGAGUAACACGUGGGUGACCUGCCCUCAGCUCUGGGAGUAAGCCCGGGAAACCGUAGGGUCGUAAUACCGGAUAUGACUCCAUGACGCAUGUUGUGGGGUGGAAAGACCUUGUGCGGCUGAGGAUGGGCCCGCGGCCUAUCAGCUUGUUGGUGGGGUGAUGGCCUACCAAGGCGACGACGGGUAGCCGGCCUGAGAGGGCGACCGGCCGACACUGGGACUGAGACACGGCCCAGACUCCUACGGGAGGCAGCAGUGGGGAAUCUUGCGCAAUGGGCGAAAGCCUGACGCAGCGACGCCGCGUGAGGGAUGACGGCCU